GAGUCCGGAUGAAGUCUACCUGCAGUUGAAGUUGGGGAUGAAGUCUGGCUCCCGUAGGAGUCCGGGUGAAGUCUACCUGCAGUUGAAGUCAGGGACGAAGUCUGGCUUCCGUAGGAGUCGGGUGAAGUCUUCCUUCAGUUGAAGUCGGGGACGAAGUCUGGCUCCCGUAGGAGUCCGGAUGAAGUCUACCUGCAGUUGAAGUCAGGGACGAAGUCUGGCUCCCAUAG
Molecule: long non-coding RNA, 227 nt
Filed under: Elaeis guineensis (African oil palm)
Lineage: Eukaryota; Viridiplantae; Streptophyta; Magnoliopsida; Arecales; Arecaceae
Description: long non-coding RNA (EGUI_LNC065075)
Source: RNAcentral